GAUGAACGCUGGCGGCGUGCUUUAACACAUGCAAGUCGAGCGAAGCGCUUUGGUUAGAUUCUUCGGAUGAAGACCUUUGUGACUGAGCGGCGGACGGGUGAGUAACGCGUGGGUAACCUGCCUCAUACAGGGGAUAACAGUUAGAAAUGACUGCUAAUACCGCAUAAGACCACAGUACCGCAUGGUACAGGGGUAAAAACUCCGGUGGUAUGAGAUGGACCCGCGUCUGAUUAGCUGGUUGGUGGGGUACGGCCGUACCAAGGCGACGAUCAGUAGCCGACCUGAGAGGUGAUCGGCCACAUUGGGACUGAGACACGGCCCAAACUCCUACGGGAGGCAGCAGUGGGGAAUAUUGCACAAUGGGGGAAACCCUGAUGCAGCAACGCCGCGUGAAGGAAGAAGGUUUUCGGAAUCGGUAAACUUCUAAUCAACAGGGACGAAACAAAUGACGGUACCUG
Molecule: ribosomal RNA, 458 nt
Filed under: uncultured bacterium
Lineage: Bacteria
Description: bacterial SSU rRNA
Rfam family: Bacterial small subunit ribosomal RNA
Source: RNAcentral